GCCCACUGCACCACCACGAUACUGACGAAGAAGGCUGUGUGGCAGGUGAACUCCACGAUUUUCCUCUGCUCAUAGGCCAUGCUGAUCAGCCGCUCAUUCACAAGUUUGUCUGUUUUGGGAUUUCUGGGCUGUCUCUUCAUGAUGUCACUCUCAGCCUGCUCAUAAGCCAGGGAGAUGGCAGGAACCUGGGAAGGGGUGGGGAGAAGGAAUUUAGUUACUAAAAAUAAGGAAGCUAAUAUUGUGAACCUUUUGUUAUAAAAUUCUUGCCCUCCCAUUUAAAAAUCUUUUAGGUGAAGUAUACAAAAAUAAAGAUUCCCAUCUGAUAAACAAAUGUUAACUGCUGCCUUGAAGAGUGGUAAUACUGAUUCUGUGAAGCCGGGAUUGGGACACACACUGGAUACUGGUCCUGAGAAUUUCUUUUCCCAACGCCAGCCUCAUGGAUGCUGGGAGCAUAGUGCCAGUGAAUGAAGACACAGCUCACACCUCACUACUAUCGAUCUGUGACUGUUGUGACACUCACCAUGUCAGUGCCCAAGUCAAUGCAGAGGAUGGUGACAGUCCCCAGUGGUAGUGGAAUGUUUGCAAUAAUAAAUAUCAGGAACGGGGUGAUCUCGGGAAUGUUACUGGUUAAGGUAUAAGCAAUGGAUU
Molecule: long non-coding RNA, 648 nt
Filed under: Homo sapiens (human)
Lineage: Eukaryota; Metazoa; Chordata; Mammalia; Primates; Hominidae
Description: HSALNT0294864
Source: RNAcentral